CCUACGGGAGGCAGCAGUGGGGAAUCUUGCACAAUGGAGGAAACUCUGAUGCAGCGAUGCCGCGUGAGUGAAGAAGGCCCUUGGGUUGUAAAGCUCUCUUGUCGGGAAAGAUAAUGACUGUACCCGAAGAAUAAGGUCCGGCUAACUUCGUGCCAGCAGCCGCGGUAAUACGAAGGGACCUAGCGUAAUUCGGAAUUACUGGGCGUAAAGCGCGCGUAGGCGGUUAAGUAAGUUAAUUGUGAAAGCCCAAAGCUCAACUUUGGAAUUGCAAUUAAAACUAUUUAGCUAGAGUUUAUCAGAGGAAAGCGGAAUACAUAGUGUAGAGGUGAAAUUCGUAGAUAUUAUGUAGAACACCAGUUGCGAAGGCGGCUUUCUGGGAUAACACUGACGCUGAGGUGCGAAAGUAUGGGUAGCGAAGAGGAUUAGAUACCCUCGUAGUCCAUACCGUAAACGAUGACUGUUAGAUGUUGGAAAUUUAUUUUCAGUAUCACAGCUAACGCGUUAAACAAUCCGCCUGGGGAGUACGACCGCAAGGUUAAAACUCAAAUGAAUUGACGG
This 558-nucleotide ribosomal RNA is filed under the name uncultured bacterium. RNAcentral describes it as "bacterial SSU rRNA". It matches the Rfam family "Bacterial small subunit ribosomal RNA", at positions 338 to 916 of the family's 1533-position model. The record is from RNAcentral.